GUUGCUGUUGCCCAGAGUGCUGUGCUGCCCUGGCAGCCAACAGUAAGCACAGAGCAACUGAUAAACAUGACUGACUUCUUCCUUUUCUGACCUUCCCACCCCGAGCGUGCACCCAGGGCAGCCUCCAGCCCGGCCACCUGCAUGUGGGUGAGACAUGACCUCACCCUGUCUGUCCAUGUUUCUACCAGAAGACUGAGCAAGCUCCCAGAAUGGACCGCCAGCAAAAGGGACUCAAGGAAGAAGCCACUGUUCUCCAGGCCCUGGAGAGGCCACCAAAGGAGGAGCCAGCAGCGUUCCCCGGAAUAUUCUAAAACAGGACAAAUCUUCCUCAGUUGUGAUGCACAGCACAGUCUAGAAAGGGGAGGGAAUCAACCAGGGCACUUGCUCUCUGACAAUCAUCCACUGCCACGUGCAGAGGACAAGACUGACAGGGGCGGCUCAUGAGCUCAGGUGUGCUGCACGGCAACAGGGUUGAUCAGCUAAAGAGAUUAUGCAAAAACUUGAGUAUUCUAUAGACCUUCACUUUAUUUAUUUACUUUUGUGUGUGAGGAUGGUAUAUCUAUCUGCCCAUGGGUGUGCUAAUACAUGGGAAGAGGCCAGAGGGAGGAAGGACAUGGACGCCUUGCUCUAUCACUCCCCGCCUUAUUCCUUUGGGACAGGGUCUCUUAAUGAGCGUGGAGUGAGCUGGCAGCCAUCAAGCUCCAGUGAUCCUGCUGUCUUCAUCCUCCACAGCCCUAGGGUUACAGAGGCAUGCUGGGUCAUACCUGACUUUUUACAUGGGUGCUGGGGAUCUGAACUCAGGCUUUCAUGCUUGCUCAGCAAGCGCCCUUACUGCUGAGCUCUCUCUCCCGCCCUACUUGAAGUCAGUCUAGCUGGAUAACUGUUUCCUUUCCAGGACCCUGAACUAUACAGAAGAGAUCACACUUCAGCUAGCUCCAUUACCCAGGCAGCAAGAAUCACUGAAAAUAACACUGUGACAGAGAGUAGGCUAAAUGUGAUUAAAAGCUGCCAGCUUGGAGGGUCAGAGUUCAAUUCCCAGGAUGCCCCUGGUGGAAUGAAAGAACCAACUUUUGCAAGCUGUCCCCUGAUUUCCAUACACAGUGGCACGCAUCUGCAAAUCUAAUAAAAAUUUAAAAGCCAACAGUGUGGCAGAGAGACGUCUGAUCUGAGCUAUUUGGUUCUUUCAAUUUAGAAGCUGAGUUACGUCAGAUGUACAGCCUUCAGGAGGCUGCCUGUGGUCACACCAAGCUAGAGUUAGGUCACAUGUAACAACUGCUAGAGUUAAAAAAAAAAAAAAAGCCUCCACAUACAGGUAU
This 1316-nucleotide long non-coding RNA is filed under the name Cricetulus griseus (Chinese hamster). RNAcentral's name for it is "lncRNA (ENSCGRG00015030064.1)". Lineage: Eukaryota; Metazoa; Chordata; Mammalia; Rodentia; Cricetidae. The record is from RNAcentral.